UCUCUGACCCUCCUCCUGCUUGCACUCUGUGUCUCUCUCAAAAAAUAAAUAAACAUUAAAAAAAAUUAAAAAAAGAAUGUUGCUAUGGCCAGUGUCAGAGAAAUUACUGCUUGUGUUCUCUUCUAGGAUUUUUAUGGUUUCAGGUGUUACAUUUAGGUUCUUAAUCUAUUCUGAGUUUAUUUUCAUUUAUUGUGUAAGAAAGUGAUGCAGUUUCAGUCUUCUGCAUGUAGCUGUCCAGUUUCCCCAAUGCCAUUUGUUGAAGAGAUUUUUUUUCCCAUUGUGUAUUCUUGCCUCCUUUGUUGAAGAUUAAUUGACCAUAUAAUUGUGGGUUUGUUUCUGGGCUUUCUAUCUUGUUCCAUUGAUCUAUUUUUUUGUUUUUAAUCUUGAUUUUUUGAAAAAAAUUGUAUCCAAGUUAUAUUUGUGGUUGUUCAUGCUUGUGAAUAAAAACUGGUUUGAGGUAAGUAAUAAUGCCUAGACUAGUCAUUUUUUGGAGAGGAAGCUGGUUUUGAGUAUCUAUUUACUCUGUGUGUCAGGCCUGCAGUUGUGUUUGGACACACCAUGGUUGUAAUUCAUACUCUUGGUUUAACAACACUUUCAUAUAUAAUUAUCAUUACUUUGUAAUUACAGCAAUAAAAUCCAUUCUUUGGGAACUAUUCCAGUAUUUAGAAUACUGAAAAUAAGUGUGCUUAGUACCAGUUGUCACAAUGAUUUUUCCAAUGCUUGAAUUUCUAAGAAAUCAGCUUCUAUUGUACUUCAAAACAAAACUGAUGUCUAAUAAAAUUCUCUUUUUAGAGAUGGCAGCUCUUUGUAGAACCUGAAAAGGAAAACUUUAAAUCAAAAGGAAUAGUCACAGAAAGGAUUUAAUGUUCUUCUAUUUAGAAUUAUGGAGAAGGAAGAAGAAAUCAUAAAACUUUCUGAGAAAAAAAACAGCCUGGAGCCUUAAGAAUAUGCUUUGCUUUAUUUAGAGAUUAAAUCAGAGAAUAAACCUAGGGGUGGGGUGGAGCUCUCUCUAGUAGAGAGAGAGAGAGAGACAGACAGACAGACUUUGUCAGCCCAUUUGUUCCUUGGACUCCUCUUGGUUUACAGUAUUUCUUGGAAAGCUAUGUGGAAUUGUCUCUAAGCUUGUCUCUAUUGAAAUAUUGGUCUGUUGGUCUUUGCUAUACUUUGGUCCUGGCGUAAUGGCCCAGACUAAAGCCAUUGGACCAAAGGAGGAGAGGGCCAUGAAAAGAGAAUGUAAGCAGUGCAGGCAAUUAGUGCAUGGGUAGACUUUUCCAGGCCAUUGCAUAAACUCAAACUUGGUUAUAGUGCUGCUUUUUAUUAACUAUGUCUAGGAAUUCAAUGAUGUAUGCUUUUCCUAGUGAGUAAUUGGAUAUUAUCACAGGGAAGAUUUCCAAUUCCACACCAAGAUGACAUGGAACACUCUCUGUAGUUGGUCCGUCAUGAUACUAGGAAAAUUUCUGAUUGCUGCCAAUUGUAAUGUUAGCAUAAGAAUAUCUAUGAGGCUGUAGCUAUCAAAACAUGAAUCUUUUUAUCUAGAGAUUGAGGAAGCUAUUUCGUGUGGUAAGACAAAAAUAUAUUCUAGAGAAUAGUAUAAUUUCAUCGAUUUGUCCAUCUGUUUCCAGGGAUUCAGCUCUUCCGUCCCUGCAGUGAAUGCUGUCUCCUUGUCCUGGACUUUGUCCCUUAUCACAACACUUACUGGACGCUAUCGCUUGAAUAUUUCACUGCCACCUCCAACAUAGCUCCGGUGUCUAAAAUAGAAAUCGUUAUCUUCCUGCAAAUUUGACUCCCUAUGUAACUUAAGAGUUGUAAGGAUGCUGUUGAUCACCUACUUGUUCAGAUUAGGAACUGCAAAUUCUUCUGGAUAUCUUCCCCAACAGAAGUUCACACAUACAGAUCUUUACAUGAAAUUCAGGGCUGACUACUUAGCUCCUCUUGGAGCCAAUCCAAGGAUAUGACAUUAAAAACAAAAACAACCCUGACAGGAUGAAGUCAGGGGCCCACUGUGCAGUACUCUGUGUGUGGGUUAGUAACACCAGGUUAGUUGUUGGUCCUCCAAGGGAGACUUGUCUUUUUCUCUGCUCCUCUGUUAUACAGAAUUGGAUAAUUCUCCUCGCUUGGUAACCUUUGUGUACCCUUUUUUUGUUUUUAUUUUUUGAGAGAGAAAGAGUGGGGGAAGGGCAAAGGGAGGGGUGUGGAGAGAAUCUUAAGCAGGCUCCAUGCCCAGCAUGGGGCUUGACUCGGGACUCAAUCUCACGACCCUGAGCUCAUGACCCUGAGCUCACCACCUGAGCCUAAAUCAAGAGUUGGUCACUUAAGCUACUGAGCCACCCAGGCACCCUUUGUUUACCCUUUAAAACUCAGCCAAGUCAUAACUCCCCUAAAGUUGAAAUUAUGUCUCCUGGAUAUCUGUUUUUCAAAUGUCAUGUUAUAGUGUUAUUUUUUCAUGAGGACACAUUUCUCUAUUUAGGGAUGGAAAGUUCUCCGAGGACAGACAGUUCUUUAUUUCAGGAUCCAGAGAACAAAGGCUAUGUAUCCAGCAAACACUUUUGGUUAAUCUUCUCCAUCUUUCUCCUUCUCUAUUCUCUCUCUCUUUCAUCUCUCUUUUUGGCAUCUCAACCCUUCAUGUGUGAUCUUCUCAAAUAUUUUUUACAUACCAAAGUAAACUCUUAUUACUUAUUGCUGUGUUAAAAUUUUUUUUAACGUUUACUUAUUUUUGAGACAGAGACAGAGCAUGAACAGGGGAGAGUUAGAAAGAGAGGGAGACACAGAAUCCAAAGCAGGCUCCAGGCUCUGAGCUGUCAGCACAGAGCCUGACGUGGGGCUCGAACUCACUGACCAUGAGAUCAUGACCUGAGCCGAAGUCGGACGCUUAGCAGACUGAGCCACCCAGGUGCCCCUUACUUAUUGCUAUGUUAACUGAAAGUACAAAAAUAAUUCCACUGUGAUUAUUAUUUUUUUUAAGUUUUUAAAUUUAUUUUGAAGGGAAAGAGAGAGAGAGAGAAUGAAUAUGAGUGGGGGAGGGGCAGAGAGAGACAGAGAAGAGAGAGAAUCCCAAGCAGGCUCUGCGCUGGCAGUGCAGAACCCGACUUGGGGCUGGAACUCAAGAAGUGUGAGAUCAUGACCUGAGCCGAAAUCAAGAGUUGGAUACUUAACCAACUGAGCCACCCAGGCACCCCAACACUGAUUAUUUUAACAAUAAAUCUGAAAUAUGUUAUCAAGUGUAAAAUUAGAAAUCUCUCCCUAUAGGUGAUUUGAAGAAUUCUAAAAAAUAUUUAAUUGAGCAUUUAUAUAUACUAAUUUAUUAAUAAAAUAAUAAGAGGGUUUCCCUUAGGAUUAUUUCCAAAGCAGGUUUUUUCCCUAUGAGAAUAUGUAAUUUAAAUUUAUUAGAAUACGUUGAAUCACAACUGAGGUUUAUUGUACAAUAAAUCAUAACUCAUGUGAAGAGUUGGAUAUGCAUGAAUUUGCGAGAUAUUCUUAUGAUAAUUUUACAAGACAAAAAUACUCCUCCCCAAAGAACUUGGAAGUAAACAUAAAAUGGCAGGUAUGAACCCCGUUUUUAAAGAUUAGGGGUCAGGAAAAUUGUGUUUCUGCCCUUUGCUCCUGCUUCCGUAAGAUAGAUACCCAGUGAAAGUGGUUGAUUUGACCACAUCUUAAAAUCUUGGAUGGUUUUUAGGCAAUUUUAGGCAUUAUUUAUCCAGAAGUGCUGGUGCCUUUUGAUUCUGAACAGGAUUCUGGAGAAUUCUUAUUUGAUGUUAAAGUUGUGAGAAUGUGAAUGGUUGAAAGUCAUGUGUAUUUGAAAACUACCCAUACUCAGUCCCUGAGGCUGAGAUGAAGGAAACUGUCACUUUACUGACUCUAUGGUAUUUGCUAAACAAAUAAGUAAGGUUGGGAAAACCUCAGGCUCUGUGAUAUAUAUAAAGAAAAUGCAGUUCUUUGAGCACAGUAAUUUAUUAGAAAAAAAAAUAAAGGGUGCCCAUUGAUCUGUGUGGAAUUUAGGCAGUGACUUACAUAUUUUCUUUACUGAUCCUUUUCAUAACUGAGAUUAUUCAAGAGAAAUCCUCCUAUCUAUUUAUUUUCCUCAAGCACCUCCCUAAUGAUGUGAAGGGGAAAAGACGUUUUUGGCUUUAUUGGUUUCUUAAGCAACAACCUGUGCUUCUGCUUAAUAUGAGCCAUCAUACAAGGAAUUUUCCUGUGUAUCCGGACUCCAGGCCUUUUAAACCUUUGCUUGUAGGUAUUACAGUUCAUCAGCUUAGAAGUUCGCAGUCAAAUUUGGGUUAACUCCCUCAGACUCAGCUUAAUAGUCCAUUUUUGUGGGAGUACUUUAGUACCUAAGUAUUUAUUAAAUGAUGAUUGUUAAUGAGAUACAAAAAAAAAAAGUGAUCAUGUGAUUUCUUUUGGUUCAAUAGAGCCACCUACAUUUCACUAAGCAUCAAAGGUGGGUAAUUUCAAAUUCCCAAAGCAUUCGAAGAGAAUACUUCAAUCAUGCUUGUUUGCUCUCUGAACUUGACAGCAUAACAUGAUUGAGGUUUCUUUUCUGGAUAGUCAAAGUCUUUUAUGUUUGUUUUCUCAAUGGUUUUAUUAUUAAGAGUAACUGCAACAGCAUCUCUCUUUUUCUUCAAGGAUGCUUUCUGGUUCUAGCCAAAGCUAGAAUGGAAUGUUGUCUGCAUCCCAGAAACCCUCAAGUGGCCCUGCUAAAAUUCUUUUCCCCUGAUCUAGAGGACACCAAUCUCCUGAAUUUGUGACUAUUAUUCCUUGAUUUUCUUUACUACCUAAAUAUAGAAUUCUAAACAGUUUAGUUUCUCAUGAUUUUUGAACUCUAAAUGAAAGUACUCAUAACAGUUUUUUGCCAGAAUGCUUUCAUUCAACAUUGUGAAAUUCAUCCAUGUUAUUGCAUAAAGCUGUAGUUUGUGAAGUUUCAUAGUUACAUGACAUUCCCUCAAUAAUAUAACAGAGUCUAGUUAGUUAUCCAUUCUCUUGAUUGUUUGCGUCGGUUUGAGUUGGGGGCUGUUCUGAGCAAGGUGCAGUGAACAUGCUUACACAGAUAUCCAAGCGUGUAAGUGGACUGUUUCCCUUAAUGUACAGAUGAGUGGAUCAUAGAGUUAGACUCAUUAUCCACUUCACCAGACAAUGAAAGUCGUUUUACAUAUUAGUUGUGCCAGUUCACAUUUUCAUCCUGGUUCCUGAGUCCUGGUUCCUCCUUAUUAUUGUCCUUAUAACCCUUAUUAUUACUAGUUACUGCUUUUGCUAUUUGGAUGCGUGUGUAGUGACAUCUCAUUGUAGUUGUAAUUUGUGUUUCCUGAUAACCAACAGUUCUUUUCACACGUGUAUUGGCAUUUAUUUGGCCUUUUCUGUGACGUUUUUGUUCUUGAGGAGACUUUUUAUCGGGUUUUCAUUUUUUAAGACCUUCAUUAUAUAGUCUGGAUAUCUGGUCUUCAGAUAUUGUUGUGUUACCAGUCUAUUCUCCUGUUUUGUGGUUUGUUUACAUUUUAUGAUUAGACGUUUAAUUAAAAUUUAUCUUUUCCCCUGUGUUUUAUGCCGUUUGUGUUAUAUUUGGAGACUGAAUUUUCAAUCUUGUUAUUUCUAAUUCGUUGAAAAACUUUGGGUUGGACUUGUGUGAGUUCUAUGAAAUAGGACUGGAAGAAAAAUUGCCAUAGUGUACUGUCUCUAACGCAGAGUGCUACAAUAUCAUAGUAAUGUCUAAUUGUAAAUUGAAGAUAUAAUUUAGAAAUAGACUUUAAAUGUUUUUAAGGGCUGAGUUUUUAGAACUUUAAGAGGAGCAGGGAUAGAAUAUUUAGUGGGUAAUUAAAUCACACAUAUAGGUGAUGAUAAAUUAUAGUUUUGUUUUGUUUUUUUGAGGGGAUAGUGUCAGAACAGUUAAAAGUUGUACAGUAUUAAAAGGUACAAAUAAUGUAACUGAUGGCAAGGCAGAAGAUCUGUGAAGGGAGAUGCUAAAUUUGGGUACUAAGAUAUAUCACAUAUGACAUGACCCAAAACCCCGGAGUCUAUCUUCACAUUACUUGUUAUUAUUUAUUAUUAUUAUGUGCACUUUAUUAUACUUUCAAAAGGAUUUAAAAUUUUUAUGUGUAUUUGGAUAAGGUGACUCCACAAUAGUAGAAAUCUUCCAGCUUCAAAGGAGAGUUUUUGUUUUGUUUUUGUUUUUUUGUUUUUUUUUUCUUUUUUUGAGGCUACGCUGGUAUUUAGAGAAUGCUGGUCCUCAAAUUUUGAAUGCAUUUUUUGAGUUACACUCACAACCAUAUAAGUUAUAGGUACUUGAUGCAUUAGUUUAUGGAUAAGAAUUCAGUCUCCUGUCUUCGUCACCACAAUAUUUAUUUUUAAAAGAAAAUUUCUUUAGGUACAAUUUGCAUAAAAUAAAAUGGACUUAUUUCAAGUGUACUUUUAGAGUUUUGACAAAUUUAUAUAUUCCUAUAUAUCCAUUAUUGUAAAUUCACCAGUGUGAAUGAAUGAAUGAAUGAAUGAAUUCACCAGUAAUGAAAU
Long non-coding RNA from Acinonyx jubatus (cheetah), 6495 nucleotides. RefSeq lists it as uncharacterized. The transcript has 2 exons. The record is from RefSeq and is a predicted model, not a curated record. Lineage: Eukaryota; Metazoa; Chordata; Mammalia; Carnivora; Felidae.